GAUGAAGAACGUAGCGAAAUGCGAUAAGUAAUGUGAAUUGCAGAAUUCAGUGAAUCAUCGAAUCUUUGAACGCACCUUGCACCCUUUGGCUAUUCCGAAGGGUAUGCCUGUUUGAGUAUCAUGAACACCUCAACUCUCAUGGUUUGCCAUGAUGAGCUUGGACUUUGGGGGUCUUGCUGGCCUGUGGUCAGCUCCUCUCAAAUGGAUUAGCUUGCCAGUGUUUGGUGGCAUCACAGGUGUGAUAACUAUCUACGCUUGUGGUUUUCCACCAGGUAACCUUCAGCAAUGGGGGUUCGCUGGGGCUCAUAAAUGUCUCUCCUCAGUGAGGACAGCUCUUUGAACGUUUGAUUUCAAAUCAGGUAGGACUACCCGCUGAACUUAAGCAUAUCAAUAAGCGGAGGA
Molecule: unclassified non-coding RNA, 402 nt
Filed under: soil metagenome
Description: partial contains 5.8S ribosomal RNA, internal transcribed spacer 2, and large subunit ribosomal RNA
Rfam family: 5.8S ribosomal RNA (bases 1-121)
Source: RNAcentral